RNAcentral lists this ribosomal RNA (484 nucleotides) under uncultured bacterium. RNAcentral's name for it is "partial 16S ribosomal RNA". It matches the Rfam family "Bacterial small subunit ribosomal RNA", at positions 28 to 523 of the family's 1533-position model. The record is from RNAcentral.
GACGAACGCUGGCGGCGUGCUUAACACGUGCAAGUCGAACGGAAAGGCCCUGCUUUUGUGGGGUGCUCGAGUGGCGAACGGGUGAGUAACACGUGAGUAACCUGCCCUUGACUUUGGGAUAACUUCAGGAAACUGGGGCUAAUACCGGAUAGGAGCUCCUGCUGCAUGGUGGGGGUUGGAAAGUUUCGGCGGUUGGGGAUGGACUCGCGGCUUAUCAGCUUGUUGGUGGGGUAGUGGCUCACCAAGGCUUUGACGGGUAGCCGGCCUGAGAGGGUGACCGGCCACAUUGGGACUGAGAUACGGCCCAGACUCCUACGGGAGGCAGCAGUGGGGAAUAUUGCACAAUGGGCGGAAGCCUGAUGCAGCAACGCCGCGUGCGGGAUGACGGCCUUCGGGUUGUAAACCGCUUUCGCCUGUGACGAAGCGUGAGUGACGGUAAUGGGUAAAGAAGCACCGGCUAACUACGUGCCAGCCGCCGCCGUAA